RNAcentral lists this ribosomal RNA (468 nucleotides) under uncultured bacterium. RNAcentral's name for it is "partial 16S ribosomal RNA". It matches the Rfam family "Bacterial small subunit ribosomal RNA", at positions 28 to 507 of the family's 1533-position model. The record is from RNAcentral.
GACGAACGCUGGCGGCGUGCUUAACACAUGCAAGUCGAACGGAAAGGCCCUGCUUUUGCGGGUUGCUCGAUUGGCGAACGGGUGAGUAACACGUGAGUAACCUGCCCUUGACUUUGGGAUAACAUCAGGAAACUGGGGCUAAUACCGGAUAUGAGCUUCUGCUGCAUGGGGUGGGUUGGUAAGUUUCGGUGGUUGGGGCUGGACUCGCGGCUUAUCGGCUGGUUGGUGGGGUUGUGGCUUACGAAGGCUUAGACGGAUAGCCGGCCUGGGAGGGUGGACAGGGACAUGGGGACUGAGGUAGGGCCCAGAAGGCAACGGGAGGCAGCGGGGGAGAAUAUGGCGCAGUGGGGGGAAGCCUGAGACAGCGACGCCGGGUGCGGGAUGACGGCCUACGGGUUGAAAACAGAUUUCGCAUGUGCCGAAGAGUGAGUGACGGUAAUGGGUAAAGAAGCACCGGCUAACUACGUG